UUGUAUCUAGUUGAAGACAUUACCCUUAAAAAUUUAAAAAUUUUCCCUCGUUCCCCGCAAAUGGGGGAAAUAUCCAAAAAAAUUACAAAUUUAAAAAUCGAUAAAUUUUGUCAUUUUUUUCACUUUUUUUUCUUAAAACUUCCAUAACUUUUUGAAAAAUCAACAAAUCUACAUAAUUUUUUUUUAUACUAAAACCUUAGAUAUUUACCUUUCAUUUUAUAUCAUUUUUUUGAAAAUUUAACCCUGAACCUGCUCAUGGGGGGGAUUUAAAAUUGCAACUUUUUUACAAAAACUAACUUUUUCAACUUAAUUUUUGAAAAUGUUCCGGAAAUACUGCGUCCUUUAAACAUAUAUCAAAUUAAAGCUUAUUUUAUGUACUAUAAAAUGAAAAAAAAAAAUUGUCCCAACAUCUUAUCUUCUAUGUGCAAAUGGCUGUCGAAAAUUAAAAAAAAAUGUAAUGUUUGCGAUAAAAAUUACCUUUUAUCGUGAUGUUUUUUGUGCUUAAAACUGCCAUAACUUUUUCAAAAAUGAAUAAAUAAAAAUAAUAUUUUUUUUUAUUGAAACCUUAGAUAUUUGAAAAUCUAACACUUAUUCUGCUCACUGGGGGGAUUUAAAAUAGUUUUAAAAUUAGUAAAAAAAUUUUUUUUUUAAUUAAACACUAUCUACAGAUUUGCAUUGCAGCGUUUUUUAUGAUAGUGAUUUUAAUAACUGUCAGAUAUCGUCUAUACUGGACCCAACUAUGCCACGACCCCACUGUGCCACCACCCCACUGUGCUAAUUUUUUACUUAAAAAUUCCAUAACUUUUUUAAAAAUGAAUAUAUCAAUAUAAUAUUUUUUUAUAUAGAUGCAUGAUAUCAUUACCUUUCAUUUGGUAUAUUUUUUUUUAUAUCUGACCCUUUACUUACCCACAAGAGGGUAUUUAAAAUGACAACUUUUUGACAAAAAAUUAAUUUUUCAACUUGACUUUUAAAAAUGUUCCGGAAAGUCUGACACUUUUAUAUAUAUCUUAAAUUAAAGCUAAUGUAAUGUACUUUAUUAUGCAAAAAAAAAAAUUCGGACUUCAUUUUGUCUUCACGGUGUAAAUGGUUACCGAAUGCUAUUAUUGUGUGAAAAUUCUCGAUUUUAUUUUUUACAUUUUUAACUUUAUAAUAUUUUUUAAUAAUUCCUUUUUCAUUGGACAUACUUUAUCUUAAUUAGGAUAUUAAUAAGGAACUAGCAGAUCAUGUAGCUUUUGGAAUAAUCCACCAUUUUUUUUAAAUUAAACACUAUCUAAAGAUUUGCAUCGAAGCGACGGUGUCAGUUUACGCAAGUAUGUACACGUUAAUUAAUUGUUUUCGAUUCGACGUAUCCUUUAGUCUGAUGGACAUUUGAUUGGCUUAAGUUUGUUGGUAGCAGUACUGUGCGCAGGGUGCUCAACCGGAACUCCAUACCGUGUAUAGUAAUUAAUAAUCAUAAUAGUUAACAGUAAUCGCUACAAUUGUCUUCGAUGAUUUUGCUUUUCCCUUUAAGGUCAAUGUCACGGAACAACAUAUUGAGGCCGACGUAAUACAUUUUUAUAAUUAAUUUCAUUAAGAAUCAUAGUAACGGUUACGGAAUGUGAGACGGUAUUAAUUCGUUCACUUUUUCAAAUAUUUUUUACAACGCGUAUGUAUUUAUACGUUGUAAGUAUCGCGUACACAAGACGUCAGGUUCCGUAGCCGUGUUAUGCUGAAUUGUAACAAUAGAAGUUGUCACCGUGUAGAUUGAAAUUGUUCGCGUGGUGGACAUUGAUGUUGGCGAUGCUAGACUGUUCGGAGGAAAUGUCGGUGAGGGUGCCAGUGGAAACGAUUUGUUUUGUAGGUUGAAGUACCCGUUGGAGCCAUCCGGACCUUGUGUGCCUAUCGCACCGUCUCCGGAGUAGCGGCAAGGGUCCUGGCUUUUCUGCCGCCCGCGGACCUGCUGGCCGUCGAACGCGCCAACGGACACGAGCUCCGGAAAAGCACCGGUCAACCGCUUCGCGCGGAGGUCCGGCUGCAGCUCCGGAACAUCAACGUGUCCAACUGGCGCCGACGAGGAAUCAGCCCGAAGUUAAUCAAGAGCUGAUUCACAACGUAGUGGUGUGAUUUAUAGACGGCGUGGGCCACCCUGAAGUAAUGCCUAACGGCAGUUCCAGGUCGGCCCACAAUCAUGCAGGCGGUAGUAAAAAAAAAAAAGGGUUUACUGUGUACGAUGGGGUUGCAUUUUUUCCGUUAACUUGCUCCCAAUAAUCAUAUCAUACAGAAAAAAACAUAUUAAUUAGAUGAAUGGUAAUCUUUCUUUUUUUUUAUUGUUAGAAAUCUAUCAUUGAAAUUUAUUGUUAUUUUUUAUUAUUAGUUAUAUGGGCUAACCGCUUUAGUAGGAACCGGGUGGCGAACAAAAUUCUUAUGUGCCAACCAAUAGCUCUAGCUCCCAAGGUAAAUAAGUCCAGAUUAAGUCACAGUAUAUUUCAUGUUAUUUACAAAGAAUAUCAUGCGACUUUGCUUAAACAGGUGUAAAAUUAAAUAAAAAGUUGAGAGGUGACGACUUGGGCUACGCAACGGAUUGUGGAGUCGCCACCCUCAUGGCUCCCUUGCAAAAGGAAAUCGGGUCGCCAACCAUUUAGGCGUGGGUCUUGAUCAUAAAAAGAACAACACCCGGACCAUAAGUGGAUUUAAGAAAAAAAAUAAAGAAAUCUAAUAAUAUGCACUUAGAUGAAACAAAAUACAAAAUUGAUUGAUAUAUCCAUCCUUUUCUUUCAAAAGAAAAUAAUGACAGAUCAGUACUUUUAUAACAAAUACUCAUUGAAUUAUAUGUAUUUCAAUACAUAGAGAGGAACAUAGGCGAUAUAUACCUUAUAAUCAAGUACGAGCUCAACCUGCACUGCAUACUUACUAUAUACUCAAUGUAUUAAAAUGAUUAUGUUGUACAGAUACGCGUUAAGCUAACGAGAUGAAAACAUUGGCAAAAUAAUCAUCUUUUCGCAGUGUCGGCCUGGCUCAGAAGGCCCUCAUUAAAUUUAAGAUUUUUUUUCUCACUGGACCACUGAGAAAAUUGUCCAACAAAUUUAAUUAUUAUUAAAAAAAGGAAAGGCUAUUCAGAUAUUUUUUUCAAGGAAAUAUUAAACUGAUUUCAAUAAAUGUAUAUUAGAUUUUAAACAAAAAGAACUUUAAAUAAAUAAUUUUUUACUCCUUAAUAUUUUUAACUUUUUUUUGAGCACCACUGGAGAUUAUAAUGGUUUUACUUAUAAUUUAACAUUGAUUAUAAAACUCAUGUCACAAAAUUAAAUUUUUUUAACGAUGAGUUAAUAUAUUUUUAAUUUUAGAUGACACACAGAAUUUUUAAAUAAGAAAAAAUUAAUUCUACUUAUAUAUAACCAAAACUUACUAAUUCUUAGCAUAACUCAUAUUAGACUUGUAGCAAAACUUACACAGUUUAAUACUAUUUUAAUUUUUUUUAAUAUAAGUUAAAAAUAAUUUUAGUAAUUAAUUUUCAAUUAAAAUUGCUGAAAUAAAAAUUAAUCAUACUCUUCUGAGUCUAUAAAAACCUAUUGGAAGAAACUUCCAGAAAGUAAUAAGACUAAAAAAAAUGUGUUCAACAAUUACUGCAUUGAAGUUGGAUAUACUGUGUUAUUUUAUACUUAGAUAUCCUAAUGCAGCACAGGAAAAAAUCCAGACAUCCCCAAGAAUGAUUUUAUAUUGUACAAACAAUUUUAUGUGUUAUAUUAGUUAUUAUUUUUUAAUAUUACACACUUAGGAAUUAAUCACUAAUAAAAUUGCACAAGACAAUUUUUACAGCACAUAUUUGUUAUAGAAAAAUUAGUUUUCAAAUGGAUCUUAUAGAUGUUAAAAAAUAAGUUACUGUUAGAUAAAAUUUUGUGGAUCGACUGA
Molecule: long non-coding RNA, 3885 nt
Organism: Daktulosphaira vitifoliae (grape phylloxera)
Lineage: Eukaryota; Metazoa; Arthropoda; Insecta; Hemiptera; Phylloxeridae
Exons: 6
Source: RefSeq, a predicted model, not a curated record